Molecule: non-coding RNA, 24 nt
Filed under: Arabidopsis thaliana (thale cress)
Lineage: Eukaryota; Viridiplantae; Streptophyta; Magnoliopsida; Brassicales; Brassicaceae
Source: RNAcentral
CACGACACUGGUUAUAGGUGGAGA